AGUCGAGCGGUAACAGGGGUAGCUUGCUACCCGCUGACGAGCGGCGGACGGGUGAGUAAUGCAUAGGAAUUUACCCGAUAGUGGGGGAUAACCUGGGGAAACCCAGGCUAAUACCGCAUACGUCCUACGGGAGAAAGGGGGCUUUGGCUCCCGCUAUCGGAUGAGCCUAUCCCCCCAUUAGCUGGUUGGUGAGGUAAUGGCUCACCAAGGCGACGAUCCGUAGCUGGUCUGAGAGGAUGAUCAGCCACAUCGGGACUGAGACACGGCCCGAACUCCUACGGGAGGCAGCAGUGGGGAAUAUUGGACAAUGGGCGCAAGGCUGAUCCAGCCAUGCCGCGUGUGUGAAGAAGGCCCUCGGGUUGUAAAGCACUUUCAGCGAGGAAGAACGCCUGGCGGUUAAUACCCGCCAGGGAAAGACAU
This 420-nucleotide ribosomal RNA is filed under the name uncultured bacterium. RNAcentral describes it as "bacterial SSU rRNA". It matches the Rfam family "Bacterial small subunit ribosomal RNA", at positions 60 to 495 of the family's 1533-position model. The record is from RNAcentral.